RNAcentral lists this small RNA (127 nucleotides) under Marmota monax (woodchuck). Lineage: Eukaryota; Metazoa; Chordata; Mammalia; Rodentia; Sciuridae. The record is from RNAcentral.
ACCAGGCAUGGUGGUGUAGGCCUGUAAUCCUAGCAACUGAGGAGGUUGAGGCCAGAGGAUCAUAAGUUCAAGGCCAUGCUCAGCAACUCAGCUAAGCCCUCAAUAACUUAGUGAGACCCUGUCUCAA